GACGAACGCUGGCGGCGUGCUUAACACAUGCAAGUCGAACGAUGAAGCAAAGAAUCGAAGCUUCGGCAGAAAUUCAUUUCGGAUUAGUGGCAGACGGGUGAGUAACGCGUGAGCAACCUACCUCUUACAAAGGGAUAGCCUCGGGAAACCGGGAUUAAUACCAUAUAACAUUGCGACGAAGCAUUUCGAUGCAAUCAAAGCUACGGCGGUAAGAGAUGGGCUCGCGUCCCAUUAACCGGAUGGUGAGGUAACGGCUCUCCAUAGUGACGAUGGGUAACCGGCCUGAGAGGGUGAACGGUCACACUGGAACUGAGACACGGUCCAGACUCCUACGGGAGGCAGCAGUGGGGAAUAUUGCACAAUGGAGGGAACUCUGAUGCAGCGACGCCGCGUGAGUGAUGAAGGAAUUCGUUUCGUAAAACUCUGUUCUAUGGGAAGAAAAGGACUGUACCAUAGGAGAAAGCUCCGGCUAAAUACGUG
Molecule: ribosomal RNA, 480 nt
Filed under: uncultured bacterium
Lineage: Bacteria
Description: partial 16S ribosomal RNA
Rfam family: Bacterial small subunit ribosomal RNA
Source: RNAcentral